Molecule: ribosomal RNA, 468 nt
Filed under: uncultured bacterium
Lineage: Bacteria
Description: SSU rRNA
Rfam family: Bacterial small subunit ribosomal RNA
Source: RNAcentral
AGGACGAACGCUGGCGGCGUGCUUAACACAUGCAAGUCGAGCGGUAAGGCCCCUUUGGGGGUACACGAGCGGCGAACGGGUGAGUAACACGUGAGCAAUCUGCCCUUCACAUCGGGAUAACCUCGGGAAACCGAAGCUAAUACCGGAUACGACCACCGAAGGCAUCUUCUGGUGGUGGAAAGUUCCGGCGGUGAAGGAUGAGCUCGCGGCCUAUCAGCUUGUUGGUGGGGUAAUGGCCUACCAAGGCGACGACGGGUAGCCGGUCUGAGAGGACGAUCAGCCACACUGGGACUGAGACACGGCCCAGACUCUUACGGGAGGCAGCAGCAGGGAAUCUUGCACAAUGGGCGAAAGCCUGAUGCAGCAACGCCGCGUGUGGGAUGAAGGCCUUGGUUGUAAACCACUUUCAGGAGGAAGAAAUUGACGGUACCUCCAAAAGAAGGUCCGGCCAACUACGUGCCAGCAGCC